ACGUAGGGUGCGAGCGUUAAUCGGAAUUACUGGGCGUAAAGCGAGCGCAGACGGUUAUUUAAGCAAGAUGUGAAAGCCCCGGGCUCAACCUGGGAACUGCGUUUUGAACUGGGUAACUAGAGUGUGUCAGAGGGGGGUAGAAUUCCACGUGUAGCAGUGAAAUGCGUAGAGAUGUGGAGGAAUACCGAUGGCGAAGGCAGCCCCCUGGGAUAACACUGACGUUCAUGCUCGAAAGCGUGGGUAGCAAACAG
RNAcentral lists this ribosomal RNA (251 nucleotides) under uncultured prokaryote. RNAcentral's name for it is "partial 16S rRNA". It matches the Rfam family "Bacterial small subunit ribosomal RNA", at positions 525 to 775 of the family's 1533-position model. The record is from RNAcentral.